GACGAACGCUGGCGGCGUGCUUAACACAUGCAAGUCGAACGGAAAGGCCCUGCUUUUGUGGGGUGCUCGAGUGGCGAACGGGUGAGUAACACGUGAGUAACCUGCCCUUGACUUUGGGAUAACUUCAGGAAACUGGGGCUAAUACCGGAUAGGAGCUCCUGCUGCAUGGUGGGGGUUGGAAAGUGUCGGCGGUUGGGGAUGGACUCGCGGCUUAUCAGCUUGUUGGUGGGGUAGUGGCUUACCAAGGCUUUGACGGGUAGCCGGCCUGAGAGGGUGACCGGCCACAUUGGGACUGAGAUACGGCCCAGACUCCUACGGGAGGCAGCAGUGGGGAAUAUUGCACAAUGGGCGGAAGCCUGAUGCAGCAACGCCGCGUGCGGGAUGACGGCCUUCGGGUUGUAAACCGCUUUCGCCUGUGACGAAGCGUGAGUGACGGUAAUGGGUAAAGAAGCACCGGCUAACUACGUG
This 468-nucleotide ribosomal RNA is filed under the name uncultured bacterium. RNAcentral describes it as "partial 16S ribosomal RNA". It matches the Rfam family "Bacterial small subunit ribosomal RNA", at positions 28 to 507 of the family's 1533-position model. The record is from RNAcentral.